ACUCUCCGAGAAAACCCAUGAACAGAACUUCACCACUUCCAUGUUCACCACCAGAAUAUCAAUAAACAAGAAGUAUUUUUCUCAACAAAAUCAGAAAUCAAUACCUCUCUGAGUGGUUAAUCAACUGUAAAUCAAAAACAUCUGUUAGGGAGAAAGCAGGAUUGGCAGGAUAGGUCUAAAAACAUGAGGAGAGGGAAACAAGAAGCAGACAAUAAUAAGAAUGAUAACUCUCCCAAGCCGAGUUUGCCAGGGUUUAAUGAAAUUCCUAAACAGAUUGAUCCCAGAAUGAAGGAAAAGGAUCACCUUAUGCGGAAGAAGAGGACUUGAAGAAGAAUGUGCUUAAGAUUCCCCCAACAUCAGUUGUUAAAACAACUCGCGGUAGCCGUUGACUAAGUUCUCAGUCUUCUCACGUUGUUUAUUUUCUUAUGUCAGGGUGAAUUUAUGUGAUUGUGGUGAACAGUUUGAAUCCCAGUUCAGAAG
This is a long non-coding RNA of Papaver somniferum (opium poppy), 480 nucleotides long. RefSeq lists it as uncharacterized. Lineage: Eukaryota; Viridiplantae; Streptophyta; Magnoliopsida; Ranunculales; Papaveraceae. The record is from RefSeq and is a predicted model, not a curated record. The transcript is spliced from 3 exons.